This 34802-nucleotide long non-coding RNA is filed under the name Gossypium raimondii (Peruvian cotton). RNAcentral describes it as "long non-coding RNA (GRAI_LNC005069)". The record is from RNAcentral. Lineage: Eukaryota; Viridiplantae; Streptophyta; Magnoliopsida; Malvales; Malvaceae.
UAGCAUUGGAAGCCAGAAGGAACUUUCUUUGAGCAAACAUUGAGGAGCAAGCUAAGAGAAACUGGAAUGUCAAGGUUGAUGCCUAAGAUGUUAGCUUUGAUAGCGGUGCAAAGGCAAACAGCAGCUUCAAGAUCGACGAGGCCAUCGAGAAGGGAACAGCAUGGCAUCACUGGGGGUGAACCAAUGACGGGCUUGACUAGGCCAAGCACAUUAGCACAUACACCUAAUUUAAGGGCAUCUCUAGGGCACUUGCCCUGUGAAGAUGGAGUGCUGGGGUUGGGGUUUGGCUUUGGUUUAUGGUUAGGUUUGGUGGGAGGGCAUGGGGCAGUAGCACUGACCAAGGAAAAGAAGAGAAUGUUGAGUGCCAAAAGGAGGGCCAUGGAAGCUGAUUGUUUUGACGCCAUUUUGAUGUUAGUGGCCUGCUUUCUUGGCUUAGAGCUAAAAGUAGAAGUGUUUGGGGAUGUGGGAGUUGGAGUGAAUGGGACGGGGGUUUUAUAGUGGCUACAAGGAACUAGUGAGUUAUUUUUUUAAUGUUGGGUUAAUUGAUGAAAUUGUAGAAUAAAAUCAAAUUAAGGUGGCCGCGAAGUUUGGAUGUUUGUGAUUUGUGAGGUGGAAAUUAGAACAUUGCCAUGUUACCACUGCUCCGAUAGGAUAAAUUAUAUGAUUUGAUCAUCUCAAAAAACUUCCGCGAUAAAAUAUAAUAGUAAGUUCCAAAAAUAAAUUAUAAUAUUAAAAAAAAAAACAGUUCUGAUUAGUAGAUACAGCUCGACAAAUCAAAUUGUGACAUUAUUAACCAAUGAAAUUUGCGUUUCAUCAUGGUUGUGUUUUUCUUAAUGUUAAUUAAUUAAGUACAAUUGGCAGCUCUCAUAAUUAAGGUUGAUUGAAGAUUUUGUGUUUGUAAUUCAAAAAUGUGCUGACGGCUUUGAAUUGAUGCUCUCAUAAUUAAAGUCGUGACAUUCACAUUGAAUCAUGAUAUUAUGGUCUCGAGGAGAUAAAAAUACACUAUAAUUUAUAAUAAUUAUUUUUUACUUUAAAAAAUAAUAAUUCAACCAUAAUUUUCUAAUUUUAUUGUUCAUUGUAUAAGCUUGGAUCUUUAAAUUACGUUAACUAAUCAAAAUUUCAUUGAAUCAAAGUUGGUUUUUUCUUUUUUUUACGUUAAUAGAGUAGAAUUAUAUAGGCUGAGUUGAAGAUGACAGCUCUCAAGAAUCAAGACCCUGUAUCAAUUAAAGCUGUUUCAACAUUUUGUAUUUUCAAUUUAAUUGCAAUAAUAAUCCCUUGUACGAAAUUAAGUAAACACAUUGUAAUUAUUGUGACAUUAUUUCAGGCAACAAUAAUGGGUUCACGGGUUUGGAUUGCUUGAUAGUGGCUUAAGAAAAUUCAAUAGGGUGCCACCCCAAAUAUAUAUAAUUUAUUCAUUUCUCUAACCCUACCCACCAUUAAUAUUUUAAUGAUUCUAUUAGUAUAAAUUAUAUAUGUUGAAGUUUCAGCAAAUUAAAGAUAUUUAAUGAUUUGUAUUAUGACACCAGACUUGAGUGGGUUUAGAUGGGCGUUAAGUGCAAUGCAUUUAGUUUACUUUUUAUCUCACGUUACAGUAUCUAAUCUUGCCGUCAUCUUAUUUUUACACUAACAACAGGUAAACGCAUCACCAUCUAAACCCACCCUUAAUUUUCCUUUUUUUGAUAACAACAUAAAAAAUUAUCAAUUUUCAAUUUUGAUGAUCUCCUUUUAUUUUUAUUUUGCUAAGGGAAUCAAUUUUAUUGAAACAAGGUACAACAAAGAGAAUACCAUACAAAAGUUAAGUAGCCAAAGAAACACAACAUAAGAGAACCAAAACUCACCUAAAGCAAAGAGAUCAACUUAAAAGCACUUAGCUUUCAGCACUUUAAACAUCUAAACCACACCCACUCCCUUGCCAAUAAAUGUGAAAUUGAUGUGAGACAUCAUUCCUAAGUCAAAAUAGAACACCACCACAUCCUCAAUGCGUCAUUCCGUAAAGCCAUUAAAAUACAAUCGAUCACCAAAAAUCACAGAAACAAUCUACUAAAACAGAAUUGCUGAAGGCCAUGUUGGGGCAAGUCACCAAAUCCGACUGACUCCUCGCCCAUCUAUUCCAUCCAUUCGACAGUUACGUAUAGCUGAAGAAUACGAGUAAAGUACGAGGUAAUUAAAUUAUUACUAGUUUUAAAUAAAAGAUAAAUGCAUGUUCCUGAUUAGAGAUUUCACCUCAUUAAUGAUCAAGUCUGGAAAGCAGCUAAUCAUCAAUUAUUUUAUGGAUAUAUAAACUAAUUUUCCACAACACUCACUUCUCAUAAUUGAAGUUAAAAGAAGUAAAGAACAUAUGUUUUUGGAAUGCUCGUACUAUUGCUUAUUUUUUUUAUUUAAUAUAGUAUUUUUAUUAUUUUCUUAAAAAAUAAAUAUAUUAUUCAGGCUUUUUAUUUUUAGAUUAUAACAAUUUAAGCAGAAUUAACUAGUCAAAACUUGGUUUUGUUUAAUGUUAAUUAAGUAGAAUGAUAUAUAGGUUAAGUUGAAUGAAGAUCCUGUAUUAAUUAAAUCAUCAAUUUAAUUGCAUUUAUAAUCCAAAUACAUGUUAGUCCUCAAUAAUGGGUUCACGGGUUUGAUUUGCUUCAUAAGACUGACGUCGCACCAAACUUUCCCAAUUCACAUUCAAUUUUGGCAUAUCAUUUUAAAAAACACUCCAAAUUUACAUGAUUUAAAUGUUAAAUUUGUUAUUCACAUCAAGCCACACAUGUGCUUUAGUAAAAAAGAAAGAAAGUGUUUCUUGGAGAAAAAAAUAAAAAUUCAGGUAUUAAAUUGAACAUUAAAGUCAAAUAUGGGUAAUUAAUUGGGACAAAAAACUCAAGUAUUAAAUUGAAAAAAUUUCAAGUACCAAAUUAAACAUUAAAACCAACCUCAAGUACCUAAUAGUAUAUUAACCGCUUUAAAUAUACUAAUAGUCUUUGUACUCUUACCAAGUUGUACUUACAAUGAUUUGAAAGUUUUGGUUCAAUUGAUAACACUACAAAAAUUUGUUCCUAAAAGGUAGAAUAACUUUUUUAGUCCUUAAUAUUUAUAGAUAUUGUCAACUUGACCUUUACUCUUUAAAAAUAUAUAAAAAUCUAGAAAGCUCGAAAAUUUUUAAAAGAUUUUCAUACCUUCAAUAAAAGAAAUCAUAGAAAUUAUAAAUUUUUAAUAAAUUUCAAAAAUUACAAAAAAUGAGAAGUCUUUAAAAUUAACAAAAGAAAUAUGAGAAAUAGAAAGAAUUAAUAACUAUAUUUGUAAGGAAAUUGAGCAGUGCUAGAAGCAAAUGCUAUGAGCAAUGCUCUAUCUCAACACCAGAUGCCUUAUCUAAAGAAUAAUCCUCUACUUCAACACCUCGUACAACAAGUGAUUAUAAACAUUAACAAUCACCAGAUUAGUAAUUUCACUUUUGUACUUAAGAUCUCUCCUUUGAAAACUUAGGCUAAAAACCAAGUAUUAGUUCACUUGUUUUCACACUCAAUAUGUAACAGCCCAAUUUUCGAUAGUGUCAAAACAGUAAUUUGAGAUCACUAAAUCCGAUGAAAAAUUUAGAAAAUUUAUUAAUUAAUAAUUAUAAGUUAAGCGUGAUUUUAGAAUUAUUUCUAAAAUUAGUGAAUUUUGUAAUUUAAAAGAAAUUAUUAGGUAAAUUGGGUCAAAAACGAGGUAUUGAGACCUCGAUAUUAUAAACUGAGUCAUAAAUAUUUUUAUAAAUAUUUACGGAAUGUCAUUAAGGUAGUAUUAAAGUUUCGUUAAGAAAAUUUAAUGUUCCGAUGGUUAAUUGAUUAAAAAUAUCGAAUAAUAAAAAAAAGAGUAUUCCUGGGAAUUUGUUCCAAUAAAUCGGACUCGUAAAUAUUUAUUAAAAAUAUUUACGAAGUUAGUUGUACAGUUAAUUAAGUUUUAAUUAAGUGAAUUAAAAUAUGAAAAAGUGUGAAUACAUGAAUCGAAGUAUGAUUACAUGUGAAUGUCGGGAAUAUCUAUUAGUAGAUUAGAAAGUGGAAAGUAAAUUUGAAUUGAAAUGUGAUUAUUGAAUAGAAAUUGAAAUGGUUUGAAUUGAAUUAUUGAAUUGAACUGGAAUAUUGAAAUUGGUGAUUGAUAUGGAUUUUAUUAGAAUUGAAAUUGAGAAUGUGGAGAUUGAUAUGUGAAACUGAUACUGAACUGAAUUAUGGAAUACUUAAUAUUGUUAUGUGUACUGCAUUGAACUGUGAAAAUACUGAAGCAAUGAAUUACUGCAAUACUGUGAAACUGAUUGGAAUAAUGAAUUUAUAAUUGAUACUGAACUAAUAUGGAAAUUUUACUGGAAAGUAAAUUAAAUACCCUAUUAACUAGUCGGGCUAGUCGGAUAUAGUUGGCAUGCCAUAGGAUAUGGAAGAGUACGGGUUAUUGCCGGCUUACUGAUUAGGCACUUAUGUGCCGACUACUGUUACUGUUACUGUUACUGAUUCGAUACUUUGUGUGUCGAAUAUUGUUACUGUUACUGUUACAGAUUCAGCACUUUGUGUGUUGAAUACUGUUACUGUUACUGUUACUGCUACCGUUACUGUUUACUGAUCAGGUACUAUGUACCGUAUUAGGCACUAUGUGCCGUAUUGGUGUGAUUGGUUGGAAUCCGUGUAUCCGUCAAAGUCCGAGUCAAGUUAAUAGGGGUAAAUGAAUAAUUUUGAUAAUAUAAAUUUUAUUGCAUGAUCUUGAAUACGAAUUGAAAUAAGACAUUAAAUUGAGGUAUUGAAAUGAAAUGAAUGAACCAUGGGUUCAAGAAAUAGAUAAUGAUAUAGUUCAUGAAAGUUUUGGUAGUAUGAGAUGAUGUAAAAAUAUAAGCAAAGAGAAGCAAACUGAAAUAGCCAUUGUUGAGAAAUGAGAAAUGAAAAAAUGAAAAUAAAAUGAUUUGAAAUAGUGAAAUAAUAUGUGAAUUUAAUUGAAUACAAGUUAUUGAAAUUUAUUUAUGGAUUUAAUGUAUAAAUUGGGUGUUAGAAGAUUAUAAGUGUAAAUUGAUUAUAAAUGAACGAAUCGAACUGAAAAAUAGUUGUUAUUAUUAUUGUUGUUGAAACAAGUUGAUUUAAUAUAUUAAAUGUUUAUUAAAAGAUUAAAAGUAUAAAUUGAAUAUAAAUAGAAAUGAUAAUGAAUGAGUUGAUAAAAUGAUUGGAUUUGUAUGAACUGGAAUGAGUUAUUAGAAUGAGAUGUGGAAAAAUCUAAUAAUUUUUUUUUUAGUGAAAUAAGUUCUGAAUACACUUAAAUAUAAGACUGAAAUAUUGCUUAUUGUUAUUAAUGAUCAAGUUGAUUUAAAGUAUGGGAUAAUUAAUGAAUAAUUGUAGACAUAAAUUAAAUGUAUAUAAUUUAUCCAUUAAUGUUAUUAAUUUGAAUUAUGGUAAUACCACUGAGUAUUCCCAUACUCAGCGUACGGUUGUUUCCGUGCGCAGGUUAGUAGGAAGCCAGUGCUCGGUCCAGCAUCCAGAGUAAUCCCGACCUCAGAGAAAUUUUGGUGAUGUACUUUUGUUUUGAUAAUGUGGCAUGUACCUAAGUGAUAUAUAGGUUAAGUAUAAGAGUUUUGUGAUUGUGGUUUUAGAACGAUGUUUAAAUUGGUUAUAAGUAUGAAAUGGAACUAAUAUGACAUAUUUGAUUAAAGUAUGCUAUGUCUGUUAUUUAUUUGUGAAUUAGUUAUAAGUUAUCCGAUAUGUCCGGUAAUACUCUAUAACCCUGUUCCGGUGACAGUUUGGGGUUAGGGGUGUUACACAAUACACUCACAAUAACAAAAUAUUCAUUAAGCGGAUCACAACCCAAAAAUCUAAAAUAUCAACAAAGAUCACAACCCAAAAAUUUUGUUCAAAAACGUACCCAACUCCAAAUAUAAUAAAUUAUGAGAAUGAGUAGUACAGGACAACUGUGAAAAUUGUUAAUGAGAAUGCUCUAAGCACUCCUCGUUAUUGCCUCAGCAGAAAUCUAAAAUUUUAUUAUAAUGAGAAGUUGUAUAAUAUCAUCAAAUUCCUAAAUUUAUUGAAUACUUCUUAUAAAAAUAUAAUUUAGAUAAUUUUCAUUAUAUAUACUAGUUUUGAUGACAAGUUGUAUAAUACUAUCAAAUCAUAAGAUGUUAAUUUUAUUAAAUAUUUUUAUAAAAAUAUAAUUAAAUUACUGAUUACUACUAUGUUAUGAAGUGUCUACCAUGUAGAAUUAUUAAUUUAUUAUCCAUACAUUUUUUUUAUAAAUUUUUUAGAAUAGGACAAAAUUAUAUAAGGUAUAAAUAUUGAGAUUUAAUGAUUUUCAGAUAACGAUCAAACUGACAUAUAAUAUAUAAAUAUUGAUGGUUUAAUUUAUUAUUAUGUCAAUUUUAGAAUUGUUGUGUCAUUUUCCAUUACCUAGCUAAUAAAAAUAGACUAAAAAAAUAUGAGUCAUCGUUUUGUAAUUUUUUAUAGAUUAAUAAUAAUAAAUUAGUUUAAAUAAAAAAUAUAUUCCAUAUUUAAAUAAGAUAAUAUUAUUAAUUUUAAAGAAUGUUUGAUCAUUUACUUUCAGCACUCUUAAAGUUUUCACACAUAAUAUUUUGUUAGGUUUCAAUAUUUCCCUUAAUUAGUGUUCUGAUAGAUCUUAAUUAAUUAGAAUCUGGUUUUGUUAUCAAUUCCAUUUUCUUAUUUUAAGUGAACCAAUCUUUGAAAAAAAAGUUUUUCCCUUCCAACCAAUAAAUUGGUUAUAGCGAUUGAGGACACCUCAAACCACCAACUUUUACUUUUGUUGUCGGUUUCGAUGACCUACAAAUCAACCCUUGUCGAAUUUCUAACCAUGUGACACAUGCGUGUAAUAUUAAACCUGAUAAAAUGUAGCAACAUUGAUUUUUUAAUAUAGAGAUUCAAUAAUAAGGGGAUUAAUUUAUUCUCUCCUAUCUCAAGAUUUGAAAAUUGUAAAAGUGAUAAACAUAUGAAAACAAGAAACAAACAUAAGAAAAAUAUAAAAUUUAUUACCAUAACUACAUACGAUAAAACAAGUUGAAUAAUACAAGACUUUUCAUGUACCUUGGAGGUACAAUACACCCCAUCCCCCAAAGGAAAACACUUGAAGAAACGUAUUGGACAUAUUCAAUAUCAAUCUUCCACAAGAAAAUUAAAACAACAAAAAAAUACAAAUAAAGACAUUGAUUUAAUGCAAAUAAGGGAAAACCAUAACUUUCAAAAACCAAACACAAAUAGAAAGAUGAAAAAGAAUGUAGGGGGAGUGAUGACUUAAAUUAGCAUUGGAAGCCAGUAGGAACAUUCCUUGAGCAAACGUUGAGAAGCAAGCUAAGGGAAACUGGGAUAUUAAGGUUGAGGCCUAAGACGUUUGCUCUGAUAGCGGUGCAAAGGCAAGCGGCAGCUUCAAGGUCAACGAGACCAUUGAGAAGGGAACAACAUGGCAUCACUGGGGGUGAACCAACAGUGACAUUGACUAAGCUAAGCACAUUGGCACAUACACCUAAUUUAAGAGCAUCCCUGGGGCACCUACCUCGUGCAGAUGGAGUGGGGGUGGGGGUGGGAUUAGAGCCGGAAGAAGAGCAAGAUCGACAAGUAGCACUGACUAGGGAAAAGAAAAGAAUGUUGAGUGCUAAAAAGAGGGCCAUGGAAGCUGAUCUUUUUGAAGCCAUUUUGGUCUUCUCUUAAAACCCUAGUGGCUUGCUUUCUUAGCUUUAGAGUUAAAAAAGUAGAAGUGUUUGAGGAUGGAGAGCUUGGAGCAAAGGGAGGUGGUUUUAUAGUGUUAACAAGAAGGGCUAGUGGAUGUUUUUUUAAUGCUAGGCUAAUUCAUCAAAUUGUAAAAUAAAAUCAAUUAGAGGUGGCUGGUGAAGUUUGGAUGUUUGUGAUGAUCGUGAGGUGGAACUAAUUAACACAUUGUGCCAUGGUUCACGAAGAAUUAAUGACCGUUAAAUCUUGCUUGUUUUAGUUUUAAUCUACACUACAUUUAUGUAGAUUUUUUUUUAUAGAAUCAAAGUUUACUAAAUAUAUGUUUUAUGGUACUGAGCAAUUAAAUAAAUGGUAAAUUACCUCUAAAGUUACUAAAUUAUCAAUAAAUUUACGUUUUGGUCACUCAACUUCAAAGAAUUAUAAAAUGAUCAUUGAACUGUUCAAAAAAAUUAUUUAAGUCAAUGGUUUGUUAAGUUUUUAUUAUUAUUUAAGUUUAACUAGCAAGCUCUAAGCAACGAUUUGACGAUUGGUACGAUGGAUCAAUACCCAUCGACGAGUAGAAAAACACCUUAGAUCCAACCUGAUCUGAUGGCUAGUGUCGGAGAUUGGAGAAAAAAGUUGUUUAGAUUUUGAUUCGCUGAUUUAUAACGUUUAAAGUUGUUUCAUUAAAAUGAAAAACUAAACUAUAGAAUAGAAAGGAAAGAAGAGAUUUUAAUUGGUGCAAAUAGUGUGAACGAAAAAAGUCAUCCAAUAGUAAUUUAAUAGCUCAAUGACUUAAAUAAAAACUUUCGAAUAGUUCAGUAACUAUUUUAUAACUUGUUAAAGUUGAGUGACCAAAACAUAAACUUACUAAUAAUGUAAUAACCUUGGGUGUAGUUUACCCUUAAGUUAAAUGAUUGGUUUGCAUUUAAUGUAUUAUUAAGGUAUAAAUUUAAUCCAUGUGUUUUAAUCUCAUUAAUAGUUGAACAUAUCGGUAAAACAAAUAAUUACUGAUUAAGGAUUUUACCUUAUCAAUGAUGAUUAAGGAUAAAAUAAAUUUUUAUCUACUUAAUAAUCAUAUAUUAUCAUAUAGUUAAGUAUCGAAACCUGCUAAUCAUCUAUUGUUUUGUGGACAUAUAAACUAAUUUCCAGAAGACUCUCCUCCCAUAAUUGAAUUUUUUUUUAAUAAUUUUACUAUAGGUUCUGAUUAUAUCUGUUAUUUUUAACACAAUACUUAGAACUAUUUAUAGUCUCCCCCAAUCCAUAAAUAAAAGGAUAAUGCGCUUCAGCGCACUCAAUCGGCCACAGUUUAAAAAAUACUAAAUAAAUAAAGAAUAUAUGAGUCAUAAGUAAAAGGUUAUUUCAUACCACAAUAAUGGGUUCACGGGUUUGAUUUGGUGCUUAAGAAGAUUCUUUAUCCAAACUAUAGGUUUAAGUUUUUAUAUAUACAUAUUAGUUGUUUUAAUUUGGUGUUUUAUGGUCUUCCACCUUUUAUUUGUUUGUUUAAUUUGUUUCUAACUUUUUGGUUAUUUCUUAACCUUUGAAUUUUAUUAAUAAAUUUUUUUGGCUGACUAAAAAAAGGACAUUCUCCGAUUUCAACCGUUGAAGAAAGUAAUAUAAAUGAAAAAUUCAAGUUAAUUUUUAAUUUUAUGAUUUUAUGGUUUAAUUUAAUUAAAGGUUGUUUUUUAAAAAAAAUGGUUUAAUUUAUAUGGUAAUAAUUGUUUUAAAAAAUAUAUAUUUAAAUUUUAAUAAACAGAAAUAUAACUAAAAUUAUAUAAAAGUUUGAGUGUUGUUUUUGUAUAAACACUUGGAAUUUGAGAAUUGACAUUUGUUGUAAAUUUUUGGGGAUAAAGCGAUGAAAAUUGACUGAUGUUGAAGUAAUGCUGAUUGAUAUGGGUUGGGUGGACAAUCUAAUUAAUGGCUUCUUUCAAACAAAUCACUACCUAUAGAUCAAUAUGGGUAAUAACUAAAAAGUAAUUAUGGCCUUUAUUGUUCUCCUUUCAGUUUAAUUACUCAAUUUAUAUUUACUUAGGCUUUGACUAAAAAUAUUUUUUAAUUUAAACUUUGAUUUUGAAUAAAAAUAUUUGAUAGGUAAAUCUUAAUUUUAAACCGAAUUCUAACCCAAGCCAAAAUUUUUAGCGUUUGACUUUUGGAGAAAUGUUUUUUAAUAAAGUUUUCUAAUUUAUAACAUUAUGUCUAAAUUGUCAUUUUAUUUUUUAAAAUUACUUUUUAACAUUAAUGAUAAACAUUAUCAAAAUUUUUAAAAAUACUUUUUAAAAGUUAUUUUCUACCGUACUUUUCAACUUUAAUGAUUUUUGUUUUCUUUUUUUUCUAUUCUCUUACUUCAAAACUAUAUUCAAUCUAUAGCUAAUUUAGACAAAUAUUUGUUCCCCAAGGGAAUUCAUACUAGUUACAUAAUUAAAGGAGAGCUCAACCAACAACCAAAUAUAAUAUAUCUUAUCUUAUGAUAAAUUCGAGAGUGUUAAUCAUUAAUUAUAUUAGACAUGAUACGAUCAUGACGUGGGUAAGAAAUAUCAUGUAAUAAAUUUUUAAAAAUAGAUUGAUUGAGUUUUAACUCAAUUGGUAUCGAUAUCAUUGCUAGUACAAUAGGACAUAGGUUCGUGUGCGUUGAAGCGCAUUAUCUUUUUAUUUAAGAGUUGGAGGGAUUAUGAUUAGUUUUAGAUAUUGUAUAUAAAAAAUAAAUACUAAGAACUGUGAUGUGGUAAAGUUAAAAUAAUAAAAAAUUAUAAUAUCUUGAUUUAAAUCCCAUAUGUAUUUUUUUAAAAAUUUACAGUUUAAUGUAACAGGUUAUUUUUGCCCAGGCCCAAACCAAACCAAAUAAAAAUAAAAUAAUAACAGUCCAAAUUUACAAUAUGGCCCAAAACAAACAAAAAAAACCUAAAGGCCCAAAAUCCAAAGACCCAAUUACAGGCCCACAACCUAACUAUCUCAGUAAAACUAAAAAACCCUAAUCCCACUUGCGCCGUUGCCCCUGGCCACGUCAACGUUCCUCGUCCCGAGGCCUGACACACCCUUUCUGCCACCAUUUCACCAAAGUAGCAAAGGGUCUGCCCAUCGCCUUCUGUUGACUCUGCCACUUGCAAGAAAAGAGCAAAAAAAGGGACAAAGUCAACGUGCAAGAACAGACGCAAAACAGAAAAAAUAAACAAUGUAAUAUUGGCUAUAAAGGCCACAACAAUCAAUGUAAUUUUUGGGGAGAAAAAUAUACGAAAACAAUAAAAAAAAUCAGAUACAAACUUGAAACAAAGAAAAAGAAGGUGAUUUAUUUUUAUUUUCAGAUUCGAAAGCAAUAAAAUAAUAAUACAAAAUUGUUUACCUGUCUAUCCUUUCAUACCGCCGUCGAGGGGCUUUCCCGAUCCCAAAAGCCGCCAAACCCAUUAGGGUAUCGUCUGGGCUUCGGUGAAAAAGGACGCGAAGGGCGCGCGACAAGAAGGAAAACCAAUUUUUUUAUCCUUUUUUAUUUUUAAAGGCAUUUGCCUUUGGAUUUGGGUUUCUGGGAGUCAAAAGGCAAAAAAGGGGGCUUUUUUACGUUUACCGGCCAUCGGUGGCUGUCGGCGGAGCACUGUGGCUCCUUUGGCAAUGAUUUUUUUUUUUAGAAUUUUUUGGUUUAAAUAGGGCUUGGAAACGGCGCUGUAUUUUAAAUUCUCUUCAAAUCUUCAAUUUUCAACACUAAAGAUAUCAAGUAAUCAACUGGGUACUAAUUUUGAGCGUCUCGAGAGUGCUAAUCAUUUCCGAACCCAUUUUUUGAAUCUUGUAGACCAAAAAUCGUUUUUUCAGUAAAUCAAACCUUUUAUUAAAACGGUCAAAUUACGAGGUGAUUCUGUCACACCUCAUAAAAAAAGAAUUGGUGGCGACUCUCAUUUUUAUUUUUUAAUAAAAAGUCGACUUCGAUAAAAAAAAAAUUCGACACUUAAUAAAACUAAAUAUAUACAAUAAAUCAAAUAGUCAAAGGUUUCGAGGAUAAGCAUGAUUUAUGUCUUGAAUUCUCAGCGUAUUGCAGUUUUGUGGCAAUCAAAAUGUAAAGCAAGUCCAAGGAAUGUUUGCCUUUUUGUGCAGUCAAACAGGCUUUUUUAGUUUCCCAUUUGAGAAUGCUUACAUCUUCCUUACAGUAACGGACCCAGAACUGUACUUCCUAAUGAGUUUCAAUUCGUAUUAUCAAUUGCCAAUGUUACCCAUUUUAUAUUCUAAUCACUAGAUAUCAAUAUAUGAGCUAUGAGUAGUAUCUACAAUAAAAUAAGAAAAAAACCUAAAAGAAUAAAGGAAUAAAUUAUAUUAAGAUGAUAUUAAAAAUUAAGGAUUUUAACUAUCAAUAAAAUAAAACUGUGUCAUUAAUUUUAAGUAUAUAAAAAAAUGAUCACUAUUAUGUCUAUAUAAUCACUACCCUAACUUGAUUAAAUUAUUUAUAAAAUAAUUUAGAAAUUAAAAUUUUUGGGCAGCGAACACAUUCUCUUUUUUACUUUUCUCUCAGGGAUUAACGCAGGUCUUGACUGAUUUGGUUGGGUUUCAGCAAACCUUUGCAUAUAUGUUCUCUCUUGAAUUGUAUGAUGGUUUCUAAUGAAAUAUGUAAAAGUUGUAUUGGUUUCCAAUAAAAUUGAGAUUUCAAAUGAAAGUUGUAUUGUUCGCAAAACAUUUAUAAAAGUUGAUUGAUAAGUUCUUAGUAUGAUACUAAUAUAACUUAUACCCAAAUAACAAAUAUAAAAGUGGUAGACAUAUUUUGCACUAAAUAUGAAAAAGUAAGCACAAACAUUAUAAAAUUAUAUAAAAUUUAUUGCCAUAACUAGAUGCAGAGAUUUUAUAAAUAAAGUGACAAGGAAACAAGAAGUAAGGAAAUAAAACAAGCUGAAUAAUACAAGUCUUUUCAUGUCCCUUAAAGAUACUAAAGUUCCCUAAGAAAAACAUUUGAAGAAAAGUAUUAAACUUAUUCUAUAUCAAUCCCCACAAGGAAAUUUAAACAACAAAGUUACAAAUGAAAACACAGAGUAAAUAAUAGAAAUCAUAACUUUCUAAAAUCAAACACAAACACCAUAAGAAAGACGAUAAAAUAUGUAGGGAACAGUGAUGAUUUAGCAUUGGAAGCCAGUAGGAACGUUCCUUGAACAAACGUUGAGGAGCAAGCUAAGGGAAAUUGGGAUGUUAAGGUUGAUGCCUAAAAUGUUAGCUCUGAUAGCGGUGCAAAGGCAUGCAGCAGCUUCGAGGUCGACAAGGCCAUUGAGAAGGGAACAGCAUGGCAUCACUGGGGGUGAACCAACGGUGACAUUGACUAGGUUAAGCACAUUGGCACAUACACCUAAUUUGAGGGCAUCCCUAGGGCACCUGCCUUGUGCAGAUGGAGUAGGAGUGGGGGUGUUGGGGUUUGGGUUUGGCCUUGGUUUAGGGUGGGGUGAAGAGCAAGAGCCACAAGCACUGACUAGGGAAAAAAAGAGAAUGUUGAGUGCCAACAGGAGGACCAUGGAAGCUGAUCUUUUAGAAGCCAUUUUGAUCUUCUCUCAAAACCUUAGUGGCUUGCUUUCUUGGCUUUAGAGUUAAAAAGGUAGAAGUGUUCGAGGAUGGGGAACUUGGAGUGAAGGAAGGGGGGGUUUUAUAGUGUUUUCAAGAAGGCUAGUGGGUUGUUUUUUUAAUGUUAGGUUAAUUGAUGAAAUUGUAGAAUAAAUAUUAAGCUGACUUGUGAAGUUUGGUUGUUUGUGAUUUGUGAGGUGGAAAUUAACACACUACCAUGUUACCAUUGCUCCUAUAGGAUCAAUAAUAUACGUGGAUCUGUCUUAGCCUAACUCUAAAUGAAUACCCUCUUGUAAUGUCCCAUGUUCUUCCAAUAUAUAAGCAUAAUAGUGACAACUUACAAACCGCUAAGUAGAGACAAAAUGGAUUACAAAUUAAUAAUCUCUCUUUGUCAAACCUUUCAUGUUCUUCUUCAGCCAUUAAACUUAAAAUUUAUUCAACUUCCCAAUGCAGUAAUAAACUUACUAUAAGCAGCUAAUGUAUCCAAAACCAACAUUAAAUAAUGGUUUCUACUUUAACUCAUUUAAUCAAAUUGUUUUCCUUAAAAACCAUCUGGUACAAACCAGUUUGAGAUGCUUCCAUAUUAAUAUUCAAUAAUAUUAUUUUGAGAUUAUUAAUAAUUACUGCCAACCAACCUCCUAUUUUCUUAUUUGGUUCAAAAAUGGAUGCAAAGUGUUGGAGAUAUUGGCAUGUUGCCAAUGGAAGUUGUUAUCGCUGGAUUCGACUGGUAUGUCACGGGCGAACUUUAGAGCCUACCGUGGAUUCCACGCAAUUAGCCCUAUUUCUAACUUAAAAUGGAUGCUUAUGUUUAUAUUCAAAUUGAUAUUUUAAAUAUUAACUAAUUAUCUUUCAUCUCACUUUGAUAGUUCAAGUGAUAAAAUUUAUAAGUAGAUUUCAACUAUUAAGUCUCAUCUUAGAUGAUUUAACACAUCACAACGUUAUUUUAUCUAAACUUAUGGCACUAAGCUACUUACCCCUAGGUUUUUAAUGUAACCCGCUAUGUGGCACCUCAAAAUAGGGCAUGACCUGGGGCCUUAGAACGAGACCAAAUAACUUGAAUCUUUUCUCUUCCUAAUUUAUCUCCAGCAUUAUCAUUUCUUUUUUCGUAAGUUACUUGUGAAGAGUUUAUCAUUUUUGGGCGACCGCCCUUGAACGCGUGCUACAAUCUUCAGCAUUUGACAAAUGUGAUUCCACCAUAUGAGGAAGCUAGAUCGUUGAAAUUGAUUGCUUAAACAAAAGCUAUAAUUUCCUAUGGAGAAUACAAAUAUUCAUCGCAUUCGAACAAAAGGUUAUGAAUAUGUAUACUCCUGUAAAUUCCAAUAACUCUAAAAUAUUUAUUAACGGAGCAGAUUAUUACCACAUUAGGAAGAACAAAAGUAUUUAUCAUUCCUGUCAGUACAUAAUUAUAUAUUUAAAAAGAUAAAUGUUUGAAACAAUAAAAGAAAUUCCUUCAAAAUUAGCAUUUUCUCAAACCAAAAACUCUUUCAUUAUAUAUAGUAUGAAUCCAUUGAAAAAUCUUCCAAACUUCUCUGCAAAAAUAUAAAAAUAAAUAAAUAAAACAAUAAGAAAUUGUUGUAGAGCAAAAGAAGACCAAAUUGAUUUAUAUAUUCAUUUUUUUUUCUCUUGAAGUUUGACAAAAUUCCAUAAUUGAGUUUUCCAUUUUCAAACCUUUGGAAAAAAAGGAAAGCAAUAUCCAGAAAAUCCGAAGCAAAUAUAACAGCGAUAAUGAAAUAAUUCUUUUUAUAUUACACAGAUUAGUAUGAAGAAAUUAUGUGUAAAAGGUCUGACUUUAAUCAUCGGCUGCAUCAGGUCUGCUUAGUUUGUUCAGUAUUUUGCCAUCCCGUGAAAAAUUAUAUUUAUAAGUUUUUUUUAAUAAACAUAAUAAUUCAAAAAAUAUAGGACAGAAGCAUAAUCGCAACUUCUCUUUUAUUAAUAUUAGAUAUCCAUUAUGAAUGGUGCAAAAUCCAGCAUAAAUAUCAAAUUUAAUUUAGUGUAAUUGUACAUAUAAAAUAUAAGUUGUGAUAUCUAUUUAUACAAAAGAUUUUGUUUUCUUGUUCAAUUAUACAUAUUAGAAAAAUAAAUAUAUACAUUUAUUUUUAUAUCAGAUUAAAAUACUUGUUUGUGCAUGCAAUAUAUCAAUAUAAAAUGGUGCUAACUUAAUAAUAUUGUUAGUGAUUUGUGAAAAAUUGAAUCAAAUCAAAACUUCAUGUAUAAAAUUGCAUAAAAUCAAAGUUUAUGUGUUGUAUAACAUUGCAUACUGGAUCAAAUCAAAAUUAUUUUGUUAAUUUUCUAUUAUGUUAUUAAUAAAUUACAAAAUUAAUCAUUUGGUAGCUUUAACUAUUAAAAUUAUCAAUUUGCGGCUUGCACUUAUUCCAAGUUAUUAUCCUAUUAGUUGUUCAAACAAAAGUUAGAAUAAAAAAAAAAAAGACAAUUCUGUAAGAAAAAAGUUCAAUACAAAAUAUUUGUUAACACGGUUAAAAUUCAUCAAUUCAACUUUACGAAGCCUCUCCUAGAAAAUGAUUUUACUGCCCGAUCCCAUUAUUGUCUUAAGCCUAACCUACCCUUACAUAAUGGAUGAUUAUAGUCCCAAAAUCGAACAAAAAUUAUUGCAAUCACUCUUCUAAAAAAACUCGCCUACAACCAAGAAUAUCUCUCCAACAAAUACGAAUCAAAAUGCACAAUAACUCUCGAAUUAUCAAGUAAAAGCACUUGAAAAAACUGCCAACCUGUGCCAAAUCAAUGGCAUAUUUUCAAAAAUCAAAUAGCAAGCCUUCAAACUUUAAUCACCAAUCGUUUCAAACUAUAUUAUCCAUCAAAUUUCUCCAAACAAUUGGGUUAGUUUGAAUUCUUGAAAGAUAAGGAUGGAGUUCACACAUCUUUAAAUUCUUCUUUUCUCUUCAAGAGUAUUAUCCAAUAAAUAACAUUAAGCUUGAUCAUAUCUAGCUUCCUAAAUUACCUACAUUUAUUGCCUAAAUAUACUUUAUAAAAUAAUUACUUAAAUUAUAAUACCAACAAAAAUAUAAAUAAUUUAAUUGUCACAAACGGCUCUAUAAUAUCACCAUGAAACAUAGUCCACGUAUCAUUAUAAUUUUUAAAUUACAAGAGAAAAAAAUGAUAGCUUUGACCACAGGUUUGGGGAUAACCAUCACUAAUGUGUUGAAUUAUGAGGAUAAUGUGGUUGAAAUCAAAAUGUAAAGCAAGUCCAGGGAAUCUUUGCCUUUUUUGCAGUCAAAUGAGCUUUUUCUAAUGUCCCUUUUUAGUUUCCCAUUUGAGAUUUCUUACAUCUUCCUCAACAAAGUCUCACUCACGGACUCAAAAACUGUGCUUCCUAAUGAGUCUCAACUCAUAUUGUAUUUAUUAAGUUAAAUAUUAGCUAUGAUGUCUAUAAUAAAAUAAUAUAUAUAACAUUAAAUAAAUUGAGAUCGAUAGAGCUUUCGACAGAACAUCGACGACUCUUGAUACAAUGUUGUACCAUUAAUCUAAAAUGAGAUAUUUGAUGUGGAUAAGGAUGGUGCAUGAGAAUUUUCAAUUUUUCGAGGGAUAUUAGUGGUGUUGGCCUGCGAAAUGUAGUUUCUCGAGAAACAUGGCAAACUAGAUUGCUUUCUAUUGGGUUGAGACAGUAGGUGAAAAUCCCAUUGAUUAUUGAAAUUAGUUUGUGUGUUGCUUUGGAGUGGCUGAUGAAUAAGAAUUAUAAAUUGUGGUCAUUUCGAAAUCUAUUUAUGAUAUUGACUGCGGCAUUAACCAGCUGGAUUGAUUUCAAUUCGCAGUUAUUCACCAGCAGGGUAAAGGUAUGGCUGAUGCUCUGACGAAAGCAGAUAUAUUGAGACCUUCGGUUUUUAAGGCCUGGUGGUAAAUUUUGGUUAUUGUCUUUUAGUACUAUUUGAGUGGAGGGUAUUUGUCUUAGGUCGAGUGUUGUAAUCUUGUUGUCCUUAAAAGAGGUUGCUUUCAUCCAACUUUUUUCUCGGUUUGCUAUAUUUUCAAGAAAAAAAAGAAGAAGAAAUAAAACAAGUUGAAUAAUAUAAGUUUUUUUUCAUAUCCAUUGGAAAUACAAUAAACCCUCGUAGAAAAGCACUUAAAAAAGUAUUAGACUUAUUUUAUAUCAAUCUCCAUAAGAAAAUUUAAACAACAAAGUAACUAAUGAUAACAUUGAUGUACCGUAAAUACUGAAUCAUAAUUUUUAAAAACCAAACACAACCACGAUAAGAAAGAUGAGAAAGAAUGUAGGAACAAUGUUGACUUAGCAUUGGAAACCAGUAGGAACAUUCCUUGAGCAAACGUUGAGAAGCAAGCUAAGGGAAAUUGGGAUGUUAAGGUUGAUGCCUAAGAUGUUAGCUCUGAUAGCGGUGCAAAGGCAAGCAGCGGCUUCGAGGUCCACAAGACCAUUAAGAAGGGAACAACAUGGCAUCACCGGGGGUGAACCAACGGUGACAUUGACUAAGUUAAGCACAUUGGCACAUACACCUAAUUUGAGGGCAUCCCUAGGGCACCUACCUCGUGCAGAUGGAGUAGGGGUGGGAGUUGGCCUUGGGUUAGAGCCAGAAGAAGAACAAGAUCCACAAUUAGCACUGACUAGGGAAAAGAAGAGAAUGUUGAGUGCCAAAAGGAGGGCUAUGGAAGCUGAUCUUUUUGAAUCCAUUUUGAUCUUUUCUCAAAACUUGAAUGGCUUGCUUUCUUGGCUUUAGAGUUAAAAGGUAGAAACGUUUGAGGAUGAGGAACUUGUAGUGAAGGAAGGGGGGUUUUAUAGUGCUUCCAGCAAGGCUAGUGGGUUAUUUUUUAAUGUUAGGCUAAUUGAUCAAAUUGUAGAUUAAAAUCAAUUUGACAUCUGGCUGGUGAAGUUUGGUUGUUUAUGAUCUGUGAGGUGGAAAUUAGCACAGUGCCAUGUUAGAAUGCUCCUAUAGGAUCAAUAUGUGAAUCUAUCAUUCACUAAAUUACAUUAUUUGCAACAGUAUUUUCAUUUAAGUAACAAUUCAAAAACAUCAAAUAAUGUUAAGUUUGUUCUUUUAUGAUAAUUAAUUAUAUUUCAAUUUCAAUUUAUUUUUUUAUACAUAAAUCUAAUGAAUCAUGAAUAAACUCUGUACAUAUAAUCAAGUGUAAAAGACUCGAUGAAUAACUAUUAAGAGAAAAAAAUAUCAUAAAAAAAUGAUAAAAAAAACAAUACAACUAUUACAUUUAAAUUUUAAUGUGAUAGCCUUUCUGAAUAAUAUUGUUUACAAAAUUUAAAUCCAUAUUUUGUUCUUAGAAAUACAAUAUAUCUUACAACAACAUCCGAUACUUAUUAUUGAUGAUAUCAAUUUCUCUUUUUAAGUCUUCUAAACAGCUGUAGUUAAUAAUAUUAUCAUCUUGUUUACUUCAAGUUUAAAUGAAUAUCUCCAUAAUAUUCCAUGUUCUUCCAAAAUAUAAGGACUUACAAACCGCUAAGUAGAGACAAAAUGGGUUACAGAUUAAUAAUCUCUCUUUGUUAAACCUUUCAUGUUCUUCUUCAGCCAUUAGUACCCUCUAAACAGAUUUACUGAACUUCAUUCACAUUAAACUCGUAAUUUAUUCAAAGUUCCCAAGGUUCAACUUAAUUGCACUAAUAAACUUUCUAUAAGGAGCUAAUGGAUCCAAAACCGACAUUAAACAGUGGUUUCUACUUUAGCUCAUUUAAUGGAACUCAAAAGGGUUUUUGUUUUCCUUAAAAAGCACAAGAUUUAAUGGAAACACAGAUCAGUUUGAGAUGCUCCCUUAUUAAUAUUCAAUAAUAUUAUGAGAUUAUUAAUAAUUACAGCCAACCAACCUUUUUUUUCUUUCGGUUCAGAAAUGGCGUAUUGUAGGUGCAAAGUGUUGGAGAUAUUGGCAUGUUGUCUAUGGAUGUUUUGUAGCUGGAUUCGACUGGGAGUGUCACGGGCGAGCUUUAGAACCUACCGUGGAUUCCACGCAAUUACCCCUAUUUCUAAUUAAAAAUGAGCUUAGGUUUUAUGCUUUUAAAUCCAAACUGAUAUUUUAAAUAUUAAUUACUUAUGACUAACAAAUAUAUUUAUUAAUUGUCACAUCAAAAAUUAAUUAUUGUGUCUCAUGUGAUACGACUCAAGACACGUUAUAAGAUCACUUUACCAAAACUUAUGAUACUAGGUCAUUUGUUCUUGACUCGCCAAUAAUAACCCGAUAUGUGGAACCUAAAGACAGGGGACGACAAAUAUAAGGCCUGGCUCUUCCCAAUUUAUCUCCAGCAUCAUCUUCUUCUCUUUCUUCUCCGACCACUCUAUUCAAUAACUCAUCCCUUUGUCCUAAACAAGAUGGAUCACAUAUUUCCGCUACCUACUUAUCCUUAAAAGAAUUAAUGAAUUAAACUCAUAUUAUAAUACUAAAUUUGAUUAUCUCAAUAAUUUAAUUUCCAAAAAUGUUUUAAUUUAAUAAUUUUUAUAUACUAAGACAUUGUUUCACUGCAUUGUUAAGUAAGAAAAUCAACCUCGUUUAUGAGACCUCGAUCCAAUUUUCGCCAGCUUUGACAUAUUUUGAUAAAUGGGAGCAAAAAAAGUCAUUUUAGGGAAUUAAAAUUAAAUUAUAAAUAUUGAUGAUUGAAAUUUUAUUUUAUUAUAAUUUUAAACCCGAUCUUUUAAGUUUAUUUCCUUUUGGCAAUUGUGAUUCCAUCCAAUGAGGAAGAUCAUUGAAAUUGAUUGCUUAAACAAAAGGAAUAAUUCCAAUGAAUCUAAAAUAUUUAUUAAAGAAAAUUUAGGCUUAUAAACUUAUACAUACAAAGUAAAUUGGUUAGUUCAUAAAUAAAAAUAUUGUGAUUAAACUAGUAGAUUGUACAAGCCCAUUUUUGCCCGGGCCCAUAUCAGAAAAUAAACCAAAUUACAAACAGCCCAUUUUCAAAAUUUUGACCCAAUUACAAGCCCAAAAUCCCCAUGGCCCAAUCAAAUUAACCCAGGCCCAAUACAAUUACAAGCCCAAAACCCAUUUUCAAAAUAAAAGAAAGAAACAGAAAAACCCUAGCUCUAGGUGCGCCGCACCUAGGGCCUUCUGACUCUUCCGAUCCUUGACCUACCAACUGCCACUGCCGCGCGUUUGUCACCGCCAUUGUCCCAUCACCGACGCAUGUCAAUCACCUACAGAAGAAAGAUCAACACGCAAACAGCAAAAAUAAUAGGAAAAAUAGAAAACAAACCGGCUAUAAAAAGCCGAAUUCCCUUCUGUAGUUUCUUCCUUUUUUACAACAAUUAAUGAAAGGAGAUAAAAAAAAAACUAAAAAGGUUGAUUCCAAAGUUCUUUUUUGCCUCUGCUCUUACUCUUUUAUUUCUAUCUCCUGUUGUUUGUUUUUUUUACUAUUCUUCUAAACUAAAAAAACAAAACGAAAAGAAAGGAAAAGGGACACUUACUGGUCUUGAAAGCCCGUCGCCGGAGACCACCUUCGGCGUUGGAAUCGGACUGAAAAGGGGGUAGGAAAAACCCCUCCUUUUUCGUUUUUUCGGGACUAAAUGGGUAGAUCUUUAGGGGGGUCGAGAAUGGCGUUAAAAACCCACCUUUUCUUGCCAAGGCCACCUCUCACGGCGGAGCCCCGGCGUUGGUAGCCGGCUGUGGUAUCUGACGGAAAAGGGGAAAGAGAACAGAGAGUUCUCUGUUGUUUUUUUAAAUGUAAUGAAAAUAUUUUUUUUUCUUUAUUUUUUGCUAUUUAUGCAGGCCAUCAUAUGGCGCCAUUUUGGGCUUAAGUUUUAUGACCAAAACGACGCCGUUUCGCCUAAUAACCGAAACCCGACCCGAUGGCCCCCAGGAUUCGCGCGUUUCUGCGGUGAAGGGGAUAUUUGCGCAUAUUUCCCUUUCGCUUUUGUGUGGCUUUGCAAUUUGGUCCUGAAAUCCUUUUUUUUUCUUUACAUUUUGCGGUACAAUUUUAUUUUUUGUUUCAUAUUGGUCCAGAUGUAAACGGUGCGUUUUAAAGGACUGGGAAUAAUUUCCCAUGUAGUCCUCAUUUUAUUCCACCGUAUUUCUGUUGGCCUUUUCUUCUUUUCUUUAUUUGCAAUUUAUACUUUUAAAUUUCAUUAAGAUUUCGAUGCGGUCCCUUUCAUAUUUAUUUCAUUCAUUUUAUUAUAAUUUAGACUUCAAAGUUUAUUUUAAUCUCAAUUUGAUCCUUUAUCCAUUUAAUUUUAAGUUAAUUUUAUCUAUUUAUGCCUUUUUGUCCUGUUUUAUUUAUUUAGUUAUCCCUACAUUUAUUUAUUUAUUUUUCUUGUAUUUAUAGCUUAUUACGUUCUUUUUUUUACUUAUACAUUGUAUUAUUAUUGUCAUCAUUCUUAUUAAUGUUUAAUUCAUUUUUAUGUUCUAGUAUUAGAAUAAGCAAUUAAUAUGGUCAUUGUUAUUAUUUGGUGAUUGUUGUUAUAAUUAUGUCAAUAUUAUUGUUGUAUUUUAUGAUUUAUCAUUUACUUUUUUUUAUAUUCUACUAAUAUAGUUACUUUAUGUUAUUUUAUUAUUAUUGUACUUUGCAUUGUAUAAAGUAAAUGUUAAUCCUCAUACGAAAUUUGCAUAAAUUAAAUUUAUAUCUUGUUAAAUAUUAUACUAACUUUUACUCAAAAUUCAAAGAAGAAAAAUUUUCAAACAAUCAUGUUUAAUCGACCAAACAAUCAUGUUUAACCACAUAUACCAUGUAACCAAGUAAUCAACUAAUUUUUAUGUCUAAUCGCAUUUGUAGAAGCCCAAUUUCACCCGGGCCUAUUACAAACAAAUAAAACACAAAAUAACCCAUUUCCAACAGACCCAAACCCAUUACCAAAAUACCCAAACUAAACCCACCUAAACAGGCCCAAUAGCCUAACCUCGACCCAAACCCAAAAAAUUUUAGGGUUUCAGACCCCUAACUCUCCCUAGCCUAGUGCCGCAACCACCCUUGGUCUUCUGCUCACCUGCUCUGCCAGCAACCAUCGCCAACUGCCACUGUCAUCUCCAUCCACGUGCGCUGAUCCCUGCAAACAAAUCAAGGCAGACAUGACAAGCAUAGGAAAUAGACUAGAAAUCUCAUGUAAAAGCAUAGGAAAUAGACUAGAAAUCUCAUGUAAAUCGGCUAUAAAGCCAAGAAUAUGUAUUGUAAAAUGGCCCUAUCUCUUUUUCACGAUUUCAAGAAAUAAAAAGUAAAAAAAACAGAUUUAAGGACUCUUUGUUUUCGGUAUAAGAUCUAAUUCCUUUUUUUAUUUUUAUUUUUUUCUUCCUUUUGAAACUGUUUAUAUACAUACAUAUAUUUCUUUAGUUUUCUCUUUUAACUAUUAUACAUAUACAUUGAAAAAGAUUUACAAAAAGAAGAAGAAGAAAAAAGCGCACCUUUUCAACUUCCUGGCUAUUGCGGACGGCGGCGCCGUCGCCGGUGACAGGCGGCCUGCGCAGCGGUGGUCGGCCGGAUCUCUGACCGGCAUCUGGAAAGGGGAGAGAGGGCUUGAGAGAAUUUUAGGUUUUUUUUUAAAUAAAAGGCAGAAAAUGAAAUUUUUAAGAAAAAUUUGAUUUAUCUAGGCAUUCAAAACGGCACCGUUUUGGGCAUGCCUCUCAGGCACCAAAACGAUGCCGUUUUGCCUUUAAACCCGAUCCAAUCGACCCGACCCACUCCAAGAUCCGCGUGUUUUUUCUGUCAUGGGAUAUUUGCACCUUUGGCCCCUUCGCAUUUUCGAUUCGUUUCGAUUUUGUCCUUUUGGUUAUUUAUCUAUUUUAUAAAUUUGGCCCCGUUGUUUUGUCCGAUUUUUAAUCAGGUCCCUGACCUAUUUUCGCGCAGAAAAACGGACACGUGUCCAGAUUUUUUUUACCCAUUUGGUCCUUAGACUUUUGCGUUGUCCUUGUUUUAACCCUCAUUUAUUUAUUUUGUUGUAAUUUUACUCUUAAACUUCGUUUUAUUGUGAUUCGGUCCUUAAUUUACUAAUUUCUUUUAAUCCUACAUUUUGGUUAUUUAUUUAUUUGUUUUAAGUUUAUAUAUAUUAUUAUUUUAUAUAUUAUUAUCUAUGUUAAAUUGUUUAAUAUUAUUAAUUUCAAAUUGUCUCAUACAUUUUUAUAAUAUGUAUAUACACGUACAUACUUUUUAUUUAUUAAAUAUUUUUUUAUAUUCCAUAUUUUUAUACACACAUGUAUACGUAUAAAUAUCUAUGUUUUAAUUCAUAUACAUAUAUAUGUACAUAUACAUAUUUAUGUGUUUUAUGUAUAUAUUAUAAUUUGUUUACAUAUCUAUAUAUAUUUUUUUAUAUUUCAUGAUAGUUAUAUGUAUAUGUGCACAUGUUUACUUAUAUAUAUAUUUUAUAUAAUAAUUUUAGAAUACAUAUAUAUAUUUUUCAUGUUUUUAUAAAUUCAUGUGCAUACACCUGUUUUUACAACAUACAUACUUAUAAUUCAUAUAUUUUUUGUAUUCUAUAAUCUACAUAUGUAUACAUGUAAAUACUUAUAUUUUUAUAUCUUAUAAUGCAUAUAUACAUCUUUUAUAUUUCCAUAAUUUCAUGUACAUACAUAUAUAUUUCCCUUAUAUGUACAUACGUGUCCAUAUUUUAUAAUUUUUAUCUAUAUUCCUUUAUUAUUUUUAUGUUCAUUUAUGUAUUUAUUUAUAUGUCCAUUUUUAUGCUUUAGUUUAUUUAUUUAUUUAUUUACUAUGGUAUAUGCAUGAUCGAUUUAUUUUAUUAUUCGUUUUUUGUUCAUUUUUUUAUUCACAUUAUCAUGUUUAUUAUUCCAUUAUGCAUAUAAAUAUCAUAUUUCAAAAAAGGAAAUUUUUUCAAAUAAGGCAAUGUUUUGCGUUUGGAAAUUCGAGAAAACAUGCCCUAAGGUGUUGGGUGUCGAUUUUUCUCGUUCAACCAAAUGGUUAAAUAUCCUUUUAAAAUUUUUAAAAUAAGGCAAUAUUUUGCGUUUGGAAAUUCGAGAAAACGUGCCCUAAGGUGCUGGGUGUCGAUUUUUCUCGUUCAACCAAAUGGCUUAAUAUCCUUUUAAAAAUUUCAAAAUAAGGCAAUGUUUUGCGUUUGGAAAUUCGAGAAACGUGCCCUAAUGUGCUGAGUUUCGAUUUCUCGUUUAACCAAAUUGCCAAAUAUCCUCUUGAAUUUUAAUCCAUGCCAUUCGAGUUUUUUUAAGGAUCGUAUUUUAAAUUUCUUUAAAGUUUUCAAUUUUUCGACAUUAAGACUUUAAGUAAUCAACUAGGUACCAAUUUUGGGCGUAUUGAGGGUGCUAAUCCUUCCUCGUGCGUAACUGACUCCCGAACCUGUUUUUCUGAAUUUCGUAGACCAAAAUCGUUGUAUUAAUAAAAUCAAAUCGUUUAUUAAAAACAACCACUUUUAGAAAUAUGUAAAAAAAUCAAAUCGUUGUAUUAUUAAUAUUUUUUUAUGUAAAAAAAUUCAUUUGUUGAAUAUAUAUUAAUAUAUUGAAUAUUUUAAAUCGAUAUGAUAAAGAUACCAGAUCGAUUUGAAAAUUUAUGCAUGACAAGUAUAAUUAUAUUGAUGAAUUCAACGAUUAAGUCAUUAAAAUAUUAAUCAUAUAAAUAAUUAUAGAAAUAUGUAAAAUUACUUUAAGUUUUACUGUUUAUAAGUAUAUCCCUCCCACGAUUAUAUAAAGCAUUAAAUAAAUUGACAAGGAAACAAGGAGAAAGGAAAUAAAACAAGUUGAAUAAUACAAGUCUUUUAAUGUCCUUUAAAGAUGCAAUAACCCCUCAAAAGAAAACACUUGAUAGAAAAGUAUUAGAUUUAUUAUUUUGUAUCAAUCUCCCCAAGGAAAUUAAAACAACAAAGCUACAGAUGAAAACACUGAUUUAUUGCAAAUAUGAGAAAUUAUAACUUUCUAAUUAGUUUUUCUACCCACUUUCUUUUAUUGAUUUAUUAUCUUUUUCAUCUUAUUAAAAUCAAACACAAACACCAUAAGAAAGAUGAGAAAGAGGGUAGAGAACAUUAAUGAUGACUUAAUUAGCGCAUUGGAAGCCAGAAGGAACGCUGAUUGAGCAACGAUUGAGAACCAAAUUAAAGGAAAGUGGGACAUUAAUGUUGAUGCCUAAGACGUUAGCUCUAAUAGCAGAGCAAAGGCAUGUAGCAGCUUUGAUUUCGAUAAGGCCACCGAGAAGGGAACAACAUGGUGUCGCUUGGGGUAAGCCAAUGGUGACAUUGACUACGCCAAGCAGAUUAGCACAUACAUCUAAUUUGAGGAUAUCAAUAGGGCAACUGCCUUGUGCAGAUGGAGAGGGGGCGAGGUUAGAGCCGGAGGAAGAGGAGGAUGGAAAAGUAGCACUGACUAGGGAAAAGAAGAGAAUGAUAAGUGCCAAAAGGAGGGUCAUGGAAGCUGAUCGUUUUGAAGCCAUUUUAAGCUGGCAAUUGGUUUCUUUGCUUUAGAGUUAAAAAGUAGAAGUGUUUGAGGAUGGAGAACUUGGAGGGAAGGAAUGGGGUUUUAUAAUGUUUCCAACAAGACUAGUGGGUUGUUUUUUAAAUGUUAGGUUAAUUGAUCAAAUUAUGAAAAAAAAAUGAAUUUAAUUUUUUCUCUUACCCAAUAUUCAACAUUUAUUGGUAAUAAUAUUACUUUGUUUAAUUUAAAUUUAGAUAAAUAUCCCCACUAUUCUAUUUUCUUGCAAAAUAUAAGGAUAAUAAUGACAACUGACGAACGGCUAAGUACAGGAAAAAUGGAUUGUAGAUUCAAAACAACAUAAUUAAUCUCUCAUCGUCAAACCUUUCUUGUUCUUCUUCUUCAGCCAUUACCCUCUAAAGAGAUUUAUUGAACUUCAUUCACAUUAAACUCGUAAUGUAUUCAACUACCCAAUGCAGUAAUAAACUUGCUACAAUACGCUAAUGGAUCCAAAACCACAUUAAAUAAUGGUUUAUAUUUUAGAACAUUUAGGCUUGGCUUGUUUACAUGUAAAAGGUUUUACGAAAAAUAUUUUAUGCAGUUUUUCUGUGUUUAUUUUAUAGAAAAUAGCUUGAUAUACAUAAAAUGACUUACAAAUCACCGUAAAAUAAGCUUAUUUUUCCUCUGAAAUAACUUACCAUUUUUUUCAUUUCUUAAGGUAUCUAUUGGAGCAAACCCAAUAACUAAUUCUACACAUUUUUUAAGGGCCCAUUAAGUAGUAGAUGUUGGCCACAAGUUUUAAAACUGCUCCAUACUCAGGGCGAGAAUUGAACAUUCAACUAUUGGUUAAAGUUGUACAGCCCAAAUUUACCCGGGCUCGCACCAAGGCCCAAAACCCAAAAUAACAAACCACCUAAACCCAAACCACUUAAACCCAAAACCCAAUUACAAAGCCCAAAAUUUAAAGCCCAACUACCCAAAUCAGAAAACAACCAAAAAAAAAAAGGUAACCCUAACCCUAGGUGCGCCGCACCUAGGGUCAUCCACUUGCUUCUGCCGCUGCAUGCCCCAUCACCACCUGCACUGGUAGCCGUCGCCGCCACUGUCACGUCGGCCGCCACCAUCAAUUACCUGCAAACGCACAACAAAAGAGAACCAAGCAGAAAAACAAAAAAUAGGAAAAUUUUGUAACAUUGGCUAUAAAAGCCAAAUCUAAUGCUUGUAAAUGGGGGCUCUUUUUCUUUCCUUUUUGUAACAUUUUGACAGGAAUAAAAGCAAAAAAAUCAAAGGUGAUAUCGGGUGUCCCUUUAUUUUGUUGUUUCAACUCCUUUUUAUUUUAUUUUUGUUUAUUUAUUUGUAUAUAUAUAUAAUAAAGAAAAAAAGGGAAAGCUCACCGGGGAUAGGGCUUCGAACGCCGUUCUGGCGUUUCGUCGGCCGUUGGAGGUGGUGGCGGUGCGGCGAGCAGAGAGGCGGCACGACAGGGGCCUUAGAACCCCAAAAGUCAGGCUUAUUGAGAAAAAAAGAGGGUUUUUCGGAAAAUUUUUUUAAAAGGUGCGGCUGAAAUGGGUUUUUUGGGAAAAAUUUGGGUUUAAAUACCCUAAAUUAAACGGCACUAUUUUGCCCUUAGGGGUCAGGUGCCAAAACGACGCUGUUUUGGCCCUGACCCGCUCGGUGACCUGACCCUAAGGGGAGGAUCCGCGUGUUUUCUUAAAAUGGGAUAUUUACGCGCGCAGUCCCUCUGACUUUGCAAAGCGUUGCAAUUUGGCCCUUUUUCGUUAUUUUCUUUUAUUUUAAUUUAGCCACAAUGUUUUAUUUUUGUUUCAAUUUGGUCCACUGAAGCCUUGCGUUUUGGGACUUUGGUUUAUUUACUGUUUUCGGUCCCCCUCUUUCGGCGUGUGUCACAAUUUAGUCCUUUUCGUCUUUUUAUUUCGAAUUCGCCCAGUAUUUUUGUUUUUACUUUGAUUUAGCCCUUUUUAGCAAUUUUAUUAUUUUGUUCAUUGCUUGCUUGUUGCUUCGGUCUUGAAGACAACAUCCCAUUAUUCAAAGCAGUUUUGUAAAUCGUGAGCUCCCCCUUGAGCUCUUCAAUUUCUUUCUUCAUGGCUAACACCAUAUCCUCAAGAUUAUUAUCCCUCUCUGCCAGCUAUUUCGUAGUGGAAUUGACUAAUUCAAUAAUCUUUUUCACAUUGCCACCGAAAGAAUCCAACAUAAAAUCUCUGAGUUGCUCUUCCAUUGAGUUAAUCCCAUCUGUGCGUUCCUCGACCAACUCAAGCAUCUCCUUCAUGUUCCCUACGAACUCCUCGAGAUUAACCACUCGAUUUUCUAAAGCUGUUAGUAUGUCCCUCGAACGACUUAUUUUUCUGGCCCUUUUACGAGUCUACAUUGGCUCAUUCUGAUCAACAACUUCUUUCGACAUCCCAAUGGUGCAUUUGAACCAAUAGCUCGGAUACCACUUGUCACGGGGCUAGAUCUUUCUUCUCGUAAUUCAUGUGGCCUUAGCGAUCCGUUCUCUCCAAAAUCGCCUAAGUCAGCCUUUACUCCCAAAAGUGAGGAUUCCUUUAGAAUUCCUCUAAGGCACCAAUUUGUAUAGCAGAAGCGAUUGUGCUAAAAGAAGCUACAGAUGAACAAUAGAAAGCCAAAGAAAGAAUGCACACAAAGCGUUUGAGUAAAUGCUCAAAGAAUUUUAUUACUCUUAAGAAUUCAACAUACAAUGGAUGAUAUACAGAUGAUGGGGAGGCUCUCUAUUUAUAGUUGAGCUCCCCCAAAAUUGGCGGUUAAAAUCAAAUUACAUCGACGGACAAUAUUAGUCUAUCCCUUGAUUUUAGGGAUUUGCAAGAUUACAUUAUAUCAAAUCAAAUCUAUAAGAUAUGAUUCCCCUACUUACUAAAAAUAGCCUAAGUCGCCAUAUCUUCAUUAUCGGGCCAACCAGGCUUCUCUAAAAGUUCUUUGAAUCGGGCCAGUUCUCGUGGGCUAAAUGUUCCUCAUCUAAUCGAUAGACCUCCAUGGGGCGCAUCUUGUGCCAUGGUCACGGGCUUUGCACUUUGGCCCGUGACACUAGAAAGUGGUGAUUCCAAUAACUACUAUGCUUUAAAUAUUAGACUGGAAAAUUUUAUGUGUACUGUAUUUUAAAUGUUAGGUUGAAAUUGUUAAGCUAGAACUAAACUAGUACAGUUCUAUGCUAUAAAUGUUAGGUUGGAAAAUGUUAGGCAUCCUAUGUUUUAAAUGUUAGGUUGAAUUGUUAGUCUAGAAGUAGAGGUGAGCGAUCGACCGAAUCGAAUCAAAUUGAAUGAAAAUUUUCGAAUUAAUCGAAUUAACAAAUCUUAUUUUGUCAUCUUAACUCAAUUUGAAAUUUUCUCAAAUCGAGUCAAGUGAGAUGAAAUUCAAAUCAAAUCGAAUAUAUUUGUUCAAGUUAAAUUAAAAAAUAUGAAAUUGAUACCAACAAAAAAGUUUAACACGAAUAUUUUAUAGCAUCAUCAAUAAAUUAAUUUUAACAAAAAUUGAUAAAGAUUCAGCAUGAUUAAACAAUUUAAUAAUAUAAAUAGUAAAAAUGUGAAAUUUAAUUUAAUAAUAUAAAUAGUAGACAUAAAUUUUUUUUAAAAAGUUUUUGGGUGUUUAGGAAAAAGUAAAAAUUUAAGAGGAAAAGCAAAAGGAAAAAAAGUUUAUGGGGUUUGGAGGAAGUAAAAGUUUUGGGAAAAAAAUAAAAGGAAAAAAGUGUGGGGGUAGGGGUGAGCAAAACUCGAUUCGAUUCGAAAAAAUCGAAAAAAAUUUGAAUUUCGAGUUAAACGAAUCGAGUUAUUCGAGUUAAUCGAGUUAUUCGAAUCAACUCGAAUUUUUUUUCGAAUUUCGAGUUCGAAUCGAGUUGAGUUUUCGAAUUCGAAUAACUCGAAUAAUUCGAAUAAUUCGAAUAUCAAACUAUAAUAUUUGACAGUUUUACCCUAAACUCCCAAACCUUUUUACUUUUCCCUCAAAACUUUUACUCCUUCCUACUUUCCCCCCAAAACUUUUACUCCCCUCCCCUCCCAACCCCCCAAUCUACCCAAAAUCUAUUUCCCAUCAAAAUUUUACUCCCAAAACCCUCAAAACCUUUUAUUUUCUCCCAAAAUUUUUACUCCUUCCCACUUUUUCCCUAAAACUUUUAUUCCCUUCCCAUCCCACCUCCCACCUCCCACCUACCCCAAACCCUCCCCCCUCCAAUUUUUUUUUAAUAUUUUCCCUCCAAAAUUUUACUCCCCCUAUUUACUUUCCCUCAAACUUUUAUUCCUCAAAACUUUUUAUUUUCCCCCUAAACUUUUACUUAUCACCCUUUACUCUCAAAUAAAAAAUCAAAAUUAUCCAAAAAAAAUCACUAAACAUAAAUAGUAAUAAUUUUAUUUAUAUUUACUAUUUAUAUUAUUAAAUUAAAUUUCACAUUUUAUAUUAUUUAUAUUAUUGAAUUGUUUAGUCAUAUUGAAUAUUUAUAUUAAAAUUGAAUUAUUAAUUAUGCCACAAAAUAUUCGUGUUAAAAUUUUAUAUUAGUAUCAAUUUCACAUUUUAUUUUUAAAAUAAAUUUUAUUAAAAAAUCAUAUUUUUACAUUUAAUAUAUUUUUUAAUUCCAAAAUACAUAGUGACAAGAAUCUGAAGAUAAUUGAAACAACUAAGCAAGCAAAGAAGCUAAUCAGUAUAUAAAAAAUUAAUAAAUAAAUUAUGAGGUGAUGAAAGUUAAUAACAAAAUCGAUUAAGGUAGACAAAUUUUAUUACGAUGGGUGACAAUGGUUAUAAGGACCCAAAAUUAUUUUUUAAAAUUUAACUCGAACAAAUAUAUUCGAUUCGAUUCGAUUCGAAUUCCAUCUCACUCGACUCGAUUAGAGAAAACUUCAAAUAAAGUUAGGAUGAUAAAAUGAGAUUCGAAAACUCAAUUAACUCGAAAAUUUUUGAUUCGAUUCGAUUCGAUUCGAUCGAAUGCUCACCCAUAGUUGGGGGUUUGAGGAAAAGUAAUUUUUUUGGGAGAAAGUAAAAGGGUUUGAGGGGGGUUGGGAGAAAGGAAGUAAAAGGAUUUAGUAUUUGGUUUAUUCGAGUUAUUCGAAUUCGAAAAAUUAACUUCAUUCAAACUCGAAAUUUAAAAAAAAAUCAAGUUGAUUUGAUUAACUCAAUUGGAAUAAUUCAAAAUUCAAUUUUUUAUUUUAUUUUUUGAGUCAAAUAGAAUUUUGCUCAUCCCUAACUAGAACUAUACCAAAACAAUCACCCUAAAAUUAAAAAUUUAUUUGUUACCCUUUAAAAGGUAUAAAAUUAUAAACUAAUAAUAGUAAAAAAAAUAGUCUUUUAAGAAAUUUAUAAAGAUGUUUUAAAUGUUAGGCCAGAACUGUUAGGUUAGAACUGUAGUAAGUUUGUUGUAGAAUUGAAAUUAACGAUGCGUUAAUGCAUUAAGUUUGCAUUCAAUGAUAAUAAAUUUAUGACCUUUUCGAAACUGUACUUAAUCUCCUUUUCAUAGCGUAUAUAUAUAUAUAUAAUAUUAUGUAUGCUUUUUACAUUGUUUAUUAAGGUUUAUUACCUUUUUGAAACGGCAGUUAGUUAUGUUUUCGUACUGUAUUUAUGUUAUUUUACAACCUUUAUAAUAUCAUAAAUGAAUAUUAAAAAAUCAAGAAUUCAUAUAUAUAUAUAUAUAUAUGAAAUUAUUUAUAAUAAUUUUAUUUGUCCAAUAUUAUAGAUCUUAAACUUUAUUUUAAAUUAUUAAAUGAGUAUAUUUUAAAAGAUAUAUACAAAAAAACACAUGCAACUUAGGAGAUAAAAACUAAUAAUAAAUAUAUAUAAGUAGGAACGUAAGCAUAGAGUUAUCUAAGGGUGGGGCUACCCUUUAAGCCCGAAGGCCUGCUCAAAAUAUGGGAGGGUUUAUAUAAGAAUACAAAAUCUGAAAAAUGGACUUUGGCACAAGUUUAAACCUAUUUUUUUAUUCAAGUCAAGCUUUAGAUAGAAUCUUUUAAGCCCGAACCCGACCUAACCCUAAUACUAUAUGAAAUAUAAAUAUACUAUUUAUAUUUAUAAAAUAUAAAUAUAUAAUUUAACCCUAAACUCAAAAUCCUUCAACUAAAUCCAAUUCUCAUUCAAUAAAACUCAAACCCAAGCUAAUUCUAAACCCUACUUCGUACCCAACCUAAUAGAAGUCUAUUUUCAAUUUCAUUUUUGCCGUCAAACAUAUCUCGUAGGGCUAAGGAAAAAAAUCAAUAAACCGGUUUGAACCGAUGUAUUCGGUUUGGUUCGAUUUGGGUUGAUAUUAUCACUCGAAUCUUACAACUUAGUUUAGAUUCGGAUUUUUUUCACAUAAAACUUAUUUUAUCCGAAUUAAAUCUAAUGAAAAAAAUUAUAUAUAAAAGAAUAGUCCGAAUAGAAUAAUAAAUUGAUCAUUUCAAUGUCUAUAUGACUAAUUCAUUUAACCCUAUUAUUAUUAUUAUUAUUAUUAUUAUUAUUAUUAAAACUAGAUGUGAUUAUACAAAAAAUUAAAGUUACAAAAAUAUUUCAUAAAAAAAAAUUAUGACAGUAUACUUUUGUAUUAGAGUAAGUGAAUCAUUUCUUAAAUAUAAUAAUUAUAAGUAUAAGAAAAUAGUUUAUUAAACUUUAUAAUAUUUGAUUAAUAAAAAAUUUAUUCACAACUUGUCAAUUAUAAAUAUUUGAUAGUUAUAAAUUUAUGACAUAUUGUAAUGACUCAGUUAUAACUAAUUAAAAGAAAUGACGCAAUGGACAUUUCGUAUAUGAAUGAUUUAUAUAUUAAUUCUUCUUUUAACAACUUUAAAUAAUAUAUCAACUUAAUAAUUUAACUUAAAAUAAAUUUUUAAAUCAUCCAUAAAUCAAGAAUUAUAUAAGAUUUUUGGUACCAAUGCGAUAUUUCUUUUAGUUUUUUUGGCAAAUUGACAGCAGUAUAUAUCAUUAUUGCAUAUUUUCCAUAAAUUAUCCUCUCUCUUUUUAAUUAUGAUGUUUUUAGUUUUUUUAGUAUGAUUAACAUCUUCCAAAGAUGUCAAAUUUGAGACAGACAAUCAGACAAACAACAAGUGUUUUUUAAAUGAUGGUUUCGAUUAUGAAAGAGAAUGCUGUGGAAGAAAAAUGUUUUUUAUUUAAAUGAACUGCAGAGAGCAAAAUAAUAUUUUAAUAUUUUCUCAAAUAAGAUUCUUUAUUUUUACUCUUUUAAAAAUUUUUAAAAACAACUUAUGUAGUUAUUACAUCAAUUCAAAUCUGUUCAUGGGUCGGACCACCCGUUCAAGCUUAAAGGCUCACCAAAAAAAUAUGAAGGUUUAAACAAAAAUACAGUGCUUAAAAAAUGGGGUUGAGUCAAAUUUAAGACCCAUUUCUAUAUGGGCAAGAUUUUUUGGCUUAUGCUUGGCCCGACCCGAAUAUAUUAUGUUAUAAAAAUAAUUAUAUUAAUUAUAUUAAUUAUACAUGCUAAAUAAUAAUUAUAUGUAUUUAUAUUUAUAUUUAAUCACUAACCCAAUAACAAUUAAACCCAUUACUCAAAACCUNNNNNNNNNNNNNNNNNNNNNNNNNNNNNNNNNNNNNNNNNNNNNNNNNNNNNNNNNNNNNNNNNNNNNNNNNNNNNNNNNNNNNNNNNNNNNNNNNNNNUUAUUUGUGUUUUUAAUAUAAUAAAAUAUUAAUUAUAUUUAUGGCAGUGUUUAUUAAUAUAAAUAUUUUUUAAUGUGUUAAAAAACUUUUUAUUUUAGUGUUUUUUUAUGUAUUUAGUGCAUUACAUUAUUUAAAAAGUUUAUUUUAAAAUAAAAACUAAUGUAAAAAAAUUAAACAUGAGCAAUUGGGUCGGACUUGAAUAAAAAAAUAAGUUUAUUUUUUGGAUUAGACUAAAGUCAUAUUUAAAAAAUUAAUCUAAACCCAUCUCGAAUUCAAUCCGUCUCAUAAGUACACCUCUCCAUCAGUCCCAAUAAUUAACCAUUAAUUGUAAAAUGACAUUAUGGAAUAACAUUUGCAUACCCAUACGAUUGUCCAUUUAAUAUAAUUUUAGUAUAAAGUUUUCACCUAUUAAUUGAUGAAUAAUUUGUAUGUUAAGUUUAUUGUUUUAAUGAAUAAAAUGGUAUAAUAAAUUACGUUAAAUAUAUUUAAUAUACUAAAUUAUAUGAUUUAUUUUAUCGCCGAGAUAUGAUUAUGUAUUAAUAAAAAAUUAUUUUCACAGGUAUUUAUAAUAUAAUUUUGAAACAAUCUCGUUAUAGAUUCUGAUCAUGACUGUUCUCUUUUAAGAUAAUGCCUAAACUUCAACACACUCAAACUCACGUCCUCCUGCAUAGACAACAAUACCCGUGCCAAUCGAGUUAAAACUCAAUCCACAAUUUAAAAAAAAAAACUUGAACAUAUAACUAUCAGUCUCCAAAUUUAAAUCAAAUUUGAAUUUUAUAUACCUACUAAUUUUUUCUUUUAAAAAAUGAAUUGCUCAAAAUAAAUAAAAAAUAGAUUUAAUUUCAUAAAUACAUUUUCACAUCAACACUAAACAUUAUUUUUUAUUCACAUAAAUACAAUUAAUAUAAAUGGAAUAAUUUAUCUAUUUUUAAAUAUAAAAAAUAACCAACGUUAAUGUAUUGAAUUGGGUGGAAAUGGAAAUGUUAACAGAAAGUGGAAGGAAUGAUUGCCUUUUGGUGCAGUAAUGUCUUUUUUUAGUUUCAAAUGCUUACAUCUGAUUCAACAAAUCCUGAGUCACGGACUCAAAAAAUGUGCUUUCUAUUUUUUAAUGAGUUUCCAUUUCGGAUUUGAAAAUUAUAAGAAUGAAGGAGAUAUUUUGCGGGAUGAAAAUAAAAUAAAAAAUUCCCAACUUUACUUAUUUAUAAUUAGAUAUAAAAUUCAUUGCCAUAAUUAGCUGUAGACAUCAUAUAAAUAAUUUGACGAGGAAUCAAGAAGAACGGAUUGAAUAAUACAAGCUUUUUCAUGUCCUUUAGAGAUAUAAUAAACACUCAAAGAAAAACACUUUGAAGAAAAAUAUUAUUCUGUAUCAAUUCUCCCAAGGAAAUUAAAGCAACAAUGAUACAAACUAAAACAAUGGAGUUAUGACAUCAUAACUUUAUAAAAAAACCAAACACACAAACACCAUAAGGAAGUUGAGAAAGAAUGGAGGGAAAAGUGAUGACUUAAUUAGCAUUGGAACCCAGUUGGAACAUUCCUUGAACAAACGUUGAGGAGCAAGCUAAGAGAAACAGGGAUAUUAAGGUUGAUGCCUAAGAUGUUAGCUCUAAUAGCAGUGCAAAGGCAAGCAGCAGCUUCGAGGUCGACAAGGCCAUUGAGAAGGGAACAGCAUGGCAUCACUGGAGGUGAACCAACGGUGACAUUGACUAAGUUAAGCACAUUGGCACAUACACCUAAUUUGAGGGCAUCUCUAGGGCACCUGCCUCGUGCGGAUGGAGUAGGGGUGGGGGUGUUGGGGUUUGGGUUUGGCCUUGGUUUAGGGGUGGGUGAAGAGCA